GAUUGGAGACUGAAAAGAAGAGAAGUUAAGGAACUUGUCUAAGAUUAUCAAGCAAAAAUUUAAAGCUGAAGUUUCAAUAUUUUCUCAGAAAACAAGAAAAGUUAGUGAUCUCAUUAUAGAGGGACUAAAAGCCUGCAAAGUAUAUUUUUGUUAACUCCAAAGGACAGACUUUCAGGGCAGUUUACCAGGAGACAGCUUUUACAAUGAGUGCACUGGCAAGAGGAAGGAAAGAGACUGUUACAGUGGCUUCAGCAGAGUCAGUGGUUGUGUCAACAGCAUCUGGAGCAGAGAGGGCAAGCUUAGUUCAUAUGAAGCAGCAAUAGCAACAGAAGAAAAGGCAGUGACAUCACCCUCAGCUUGUUGGAAUUGGAAUGUGAGUUUGUUAAUCUAUUUGUCAUCUGAAAGUUGUGACUUUUUUGCCAGUGAAUAAUGGGCUAUUUCUGUUUCAUGUCAGCAAAUGCAAAACUGUACAUCAACUGGAUUAAAUUAAAGGAGCCUAUGGGCCAGCUAAUGAAAAAUACAGGAGUCUGAAUAGCAGGGGAAAGCUCUGGGUGUCAGCAAUAUAUUCAAGUAGAGAUAAACAGAAGAAGAUGUGAAGAAGUCAAUGAUAGGGUAGUAGUUCUGAACUUACCUGGUGACUAUGC
RNAcentral lists this long non-coding RNA (644 nucleotides) under Homo sapiens (human). RNAcentral describes it as "HSALNT0063726". Lineage: Eukaryota; Metazoa; Chordata; Mammalia; Primates; Hominidae. The record is from RNAcentral.